UUUAUUCCUAAGCCACAAAAAAAAAAAAAAAAUCUUUCUACUCUCCCAAAGGUUUUUCCUCCUCACCUUCUUCAAAUAGUUAGAUACCACCUAUCCUUCUAUUGGAAUCCUUGAGAAUAACAAGGUUAUUCUCGUGGUCGUGUUCAAGAUUGUUCGAGGAGACGUUCGCGUUUAAAAUCGUUGGAGGAGUCGUUCGUUGGAAUAUCGAAAGGAUCGUUCUAGGAGCUUGGGAAUCUACAAAGAAUACCAAGGUUCCCACGUGGUGGUGUCUGGUUGAUUAGAAAUUUGCUGUUGUGUUUUUGGACGUUCUUAUCGAAGAGCUCGUUGUGUUCGAGAGUUUGGAGAGGAAUCGUGAAGUGAUUAGUCUUCAAGGGUAUGUGAUUUUCGGAUCUCUAUAUCCUUUUUAAUUUCUAUAAAAAAGCAUGCUUAUUUAGUUAUGUAAACAUUGUUUCCAUCCUCUACGUUUUUUUGUAUGAUCUGUAAAAUUAGAAUUAGGAUACAAUCAUUUAUGCAAUGGGUAUACUCGCGUAUCCUUUCACAUAUAAUCCAUUUGUUACUUGUCAAAUUGCCUAUAAAUAGUGACAUUUGAUAGGUUUUGUAGGAGAUGCACUUGGGUGAAAAUUAGUGAGAAAGUCUAGAGACAUUUCUUUUCAUAAUAUAUUUCAAUUUUAUUUUAUUUGGUUGUUUAUUUUAUUUGUUUAUAUAUUAAAUAUAUUAUAAAAUAUUUCCUCAAUAUUUAUGUUACCAUGGUGCAUCAUUUUGUUCCUCAAUUUUACAACAAAAGGAAAAUAAAAAUUCUACCUAAUUUGAGCCAAUUGAUGCAAAUUCAACUAAAUGCAAUUUAUAUACAUAAACACUCCCUCAAUUUCAACAUGGUAGAGUAGACAGAUUGAAGAUAUGUUUUAUUGAAGUGACCAAAAGACAAUGUUUUAUUGAAGAUAUAAACCGGGUUAACAAUAUAGAUAGAUUGUAAAAAAAAGAGUGUUGCUUUGGUAAUGAUGACAAAUAAAGUGAUAGUCAUUUUUAGUGCGUUCAUGGAAGACAUCAUCGUGAGUAACUUAGAUAACACUACGAUUAUCACAAUGAAGUAUAGUGGCAGAUUGUUGAAGAGCUCCCACAUUUGUAAGUAACCAGUGAAGCCAUAUUAACUUCAAGAUAGCAUCAUCAAGCACCCGAAUUGUCCAAAUAAAAGCAAUAACAUUAAGUAGUGAAGAAUUCAUGCUCUAUAUUAGUUGAAUUAGGCUCAUUUUGACAUUCUAUUUCUAUAUAGUUUUUACUUGUAAGUUAAUAUUUGAUCAUUAAUCUUAGUGGGAUGAAAUAGUUGCAAUUGUUGUUAUUAAAUAAUUAUUAUAUAGAUGAAAUGAGAGGUUUCUUUUAUAAAACAAAAUAUAACAAUAAUUAUUUUUUUAAGUUCAACUAGUUUGUUGCAAUUGCUAUUGGGCAUCUCGCCAAGGACAUCAUUCCUCCAAUCUUUGGCGAGUCUUAUGUUCCUUGGAGUUUAUAAGCAUGGAGUCAAACGAAGAAUCGAAACUAGAUUAGGAGAAGACAGGCCGGAGGUCAAGACCACCAGCCACCCGUCGGAAAACUCAAUGGGGACAAAAUCUGAGCACCUACGAACAUCAUCAACAACUUAGGAAGUGAUCUUUCUAAACCUUAAAACAUUGUAAAAGAAACUAUUGAAGAAGUCUAGAUAUUCCAGCUCUCUCUAAAUGUCACAAGAAUUGCUACCAUUUGGCUCACUUGCUUGCUAAGGAACCUUUUCUCACGAUUUCCCCAUUUUAGAGAAUGAAGCAGUUGUUUUGUUUCUUUGUUUUUGUUUUUUGUUUUUGUUUUUAUUUUUUAUUUUUAUUUUUUGCAUUGUAAUUAUCCUUUGAGACUC
This is a long non-coding RNA of Benincasa hispida (wax gourd), 1879 nucleotides long. RefSeq lists it as uncharacterized. Lineage: Eukaryota; Viridiplantae; Streptophyta; Magnoliopsida; Cucurbitales; Cucurbitaceae. The record is from RefSeq and is a predicted model, not a curated record.